GGAUCGGUGGCUGAGGGGUUGAAGGCGGCCGGUUGCUAACCGGUUGGGGAACCCCGUUCCCUCGCAGGUUCGAAUCCUGCCCGAUCCGCCA
Molecule: transfer RNA, 91 nt
Filed under: Sulfobacillus harzensis
Lineage: Bacteria; Bacillati; Bacillota; Clostridia; Eubacteriales; Clostridiales Family XVII. Incertae Sedis
Description: Sulfobacillus sp. DSM 109850 tRNA-Ser
Rfam family: tRNA
About the family: Transfer RNA (tRNA) molecules are approximately 80 nucleotides in length. Their secondary structure includes four short double-helical elements and three loops (D, anti-codon, and T loops).
Source: RNAcentral